RNAcentral lists this ribosomal RNA (440 nucleotides) under uncultured bacterium. RNAcentral's name for it is "bacterial SSU rRNA". It matches the Rfam family "Bacterial small subunit ribosomal RNA", at positions 8 to 442 of the family's 1533-position model. The record is from RNAcentral.
AGAGUGUGAUCCUGGCUCAGAAUCAACGCUGGCGGCGUGCCUAACACAUGCAAGUCGAGCGAGAAAAGGGUAGCAAUAUCCUGAGUAAAGCGGCGCACGGGUGAGUAACACGUGGGUAAUCUGCCCUGGAGUGGGGAAUAACACCGGGAAACCGGUGCUGAUACCGCAUACGAUAACGAGGUCUGCGGACUUUGUUAUGAAAGGAGCAAUUCGCCUCCAGGAAGAGCCCGCGGCUGAUUAGCUAGUUGGUGAGGUAAUGGCUCACCAAGGCUUCGAUCAGUAUCCGGUCUGAGAGGACGGUCGGACACACUGGGAACUGAGACACGGUCCAGACUCCUACGGGAGGCAGCAGUGGGGAAUUUUUGGCAAUGGGGGCAACCCUGACCAAGCAACGCCGCGUGGGUGAUGAAGUCUCUUGGGACGUAAAACCCUUUCGACGG